Long non-coding RNA from Sander lucioperca (pikeperch), 906 nucleotides. RefSeq lists it as uncharacterized. The record is from RefSeq and is a predicted model, not a curated record. The transcript is spliced from 2 exons. NCBI's taxonomy places the organism in Eukaryota, Metazoa, Chordata, Actinopteri, Perciformes, Percidae.
UUUAAAACGUGGACGUUUAAACUAGCGCCGUGGGGAGGGACAGUCAGCUGUAAACGCCAGCAGCAGCUUUCACCGAGGACUUCACUGGAGGUCAGUGCUAAUUAGCCGUUGUGGCUACUGCUUCGGACGGGGAGCGACUCCGCCGCCGGACCUGCGUUGCCACACAGACGGAUUGCUUGCUAAACCUUGCCUGCAGCUGUCUCAUCAGCCCAGCUCGUCGCGGAUCGGAUGUGAAGACUCCAUAAAGAGUCAUCGGGGAGAUGUCACUGCCUGUUCCCAUCCUCUGGCAUUAAAACCUCCUCCGUUGCAGCAAAAGACAAGAAGUUGCGGACAAGCUCUUGCUGCCCGCAUGACCACUGGAAUACCAAAUAACCGUGAAUGGAGGCAGCAGUGCCACUUUCCACUGGCAAGAGAGACAAGGUUCAGCACCAUGUGACGAGAAUACAAACAACAGCCCGGGUCCUUCACAGAUUGAGAAAACACUCCCGUGGUUUUCGGAUGUGGGGCUGCAGGAUAUUUAGAUGAUUCACAUGACAAGCUGCAGGGUGUAUUAAAGGACCAGUACGUUUUUCUGCCCCAUAGCAGAACAUGACCAUGAAAUAUCCAUUGAUGGUUGAUGGGGUUGUUGAUCAAUACCGAUGACCGCAAAUUACUGGCACUGAGGUUUUUGUCUUUCACCUGAGUGUCAAGGUUUGCCAGAUUUGUUUUGUGGAAGUUCUUGCAGAGUUGUUUGAAGUCUUUCUAGCACGAGACAGAUCAGUAAAGGUCAUAGAGGACUAAAUGUCCCUAAAAACAUUAAACAAUAGACGUCAUCAAACACCAUACUGUAAAUUCUCAAAAAUUCUUGAAGCCCAUUUGUGUGGCUCACACGAGCCAAUAAAGGUUUGUCCCUAAUAAAGACCGGUU